CUUUCAGUGAUUCUAAUGGAUUGUGAGGAGCACAGGAGGGAGGAGAAUCUAAUUUUUAUUUCAUGUCUACCAUUCAUUUUCUCCUGUGCAAAAUCAAGGUUUGGGCUUGAUGGGCUAUCUUCAAUUUUUUCUCUGGUGCUAAUGAACUGAUUCCAUAAGCAAAUUAGAGAGCCCAUGUAAACAGUAUGGUGCCUGGUACAGGGUGGGUGUUCAAUGAAUGGCAACUAUCAUUAUUAUUCACCCAGCACAUUAUGUUCCUGAAAACCAGGAACUGCUUCCUGUCUGACCCACUGCAGUGGUGGAGAGGAUCAAGGGAAAUAAUGAUCAUGGAUGUGCUUAGGAGACGUAAGAUUUUACUAAGAAUUGCUGUGAGCUGGGCACCCUUCUACGCUCUGCAGACACCAUGGCUAGUAAGACAGGCAAAGACCUGCCAUCUGGAGCUUGUUUGGAUAUAGGGUAGGGGGACGGGGAGAAGGGAGAUAAACAAUAAACAAGUAAAUUUACACUCUUUUAUUGUGAAUCAUCCUUUCACUGGUCUUGUCUUAACUCCAUGAACACAGCGACAGUGUCCUAUGUGUUUUCUAUUUAUUUGUAUUCUCUGCCUACUUUCCAAUAAAUGUCUUAGAUAAGCUGCUAUAUCAAUGCAGAUUAAGUCAUACUAACUUCUUGUAGCAUCUUAAUUAAAUGGGCUCUCUGGAGUCAGACUUCUAGGUUCAAAAUCCAGCUUCAUGACUUAUUAUUUAUUUAUUUUUAAUAAAAACUAUUUUUAAUAAACAUCAUAUUUACAACAUGACGUUUUGAUAUACAUAUACAUAGUGAAAUGAUUAUUCCAGUUAAACAAAUUAAUAUAUCCAUCUCCUCAUACAGUUACCGCUAUUUUUGUGUAUGUGGUGAGAGCACUUGAAAUCUCUUCUCUUAGAAAAUUUCCAGUAUUCGGCUGGGCGCGGUGGCUCACGCCUGUAAUCCCAGCACUUUGGGAGGCUGAGGCGGGUGGAUCACCUGAGGUCAGGAGUUCGAGACCAGCCUGGCCAACGUGGUGAAACCCGGUCUCUACAAAAAAUACAAAAAUUGUCCGGGCAUGGUUAGUGGCACACGCCUGUAAUCCCAGCUACUCGGGAGGCUGAGGCAGAAUUGCUUGAGCCAGGGAGACGGAGGUUGCAGUGAGCCGAGACUGUGCCACUGUACUCCAGCCUGGCCAACAGAGAAAGACUCAGUCUCCAAAAAAAAAAAAAAAAGAAAAUUUCCGGUAUCCAAUACAAUAUUAUUAACUCUACAGUAGCCCUCCCUUAUCUGUAUUUUGGUUAUUCUGGUUUUGCUUACUGAGGUUUCAGUUACUCUUGGUCAACCAUGGUCAGAA
RNAcentral lists this long non-coding RNA (1357 nucleotides) under Homo sapiens (human). RNAcentral's name for it is "PREDICTED lncRNA (TCONS_00109108)". The record is from RNAcentral. Lineage: Eukaryota; Metazoa; Chordata; Mammalia; Primates; Hominidae.